AGUGAACGCUGGCGGUAUGCCUAACACAUGCAAGUCGAACGGCAGCACAGUAAGGGCUUGCUCUUACGGGUGGCGGGUGGCGUACGGGUUAGGAAUACAUCGGAAUCUACUUUUUCGUGGAGGGUAACGUAGGGUAACUUACGCUAAUACCGCAUACGACCUACGGGUGACAGCAAGGGAUCUUCGGACCUUGCGCGAUUGAAUGAGCUGAUGUCGGAUUAGCUAGUUGGCGGGGUAAAGGCCAACCAAGGCAACGAUCCGUAGCUGGUCUGAGAGGAUGAUCAGCCACACUGGAACUGAGACACGGUCCAGACUCCUACGGGAGGCAGCAGUGGGGAAUAUUGGACAAUGGGCGCAAGCCUGAUCCAGCCAUACCGCGUGGGUGAAGAAGGCCUUCGGGUUGUAAAGCCCUUUUGUUGGGAAAGAAAAGCAGCAGGUUAAUACCCCGCUGUCCUGACGGUACCCAAAGAAUAAGCACCGGCUAACUACGUG
RNAcentral lists this ribosomal RNA (492 nucleotides) under uncultured bacterium. RNAcentral describes it as "partial 16S ribosomal RNA". It matches the Rfam family "Bacterial small subunit ribosomal RNA", at positions 29 to 507 of the family's 1533-position model. The record is from RNAcentral.